UGGGGAAUUUUGCGCAAUGGGGGAAACCCUGACGCAGCAACGCCGCGUGGAGGAUGAAAUAUCUUGGUAUGUAAACUCCUUUCGAUGGGGAAGAUAAUGACGGUACCCAUAGAAGAAGCCCCGGCUAACUUCGUGCCAGCAGCCGCGGUAAUACGAGGGGGGCAAGCGUUGUUCGGAAUUAUUGGGCGUAAAGGGUGCGUAGGCGGUUUGACAAGUCAUCUGUGAAAUCUAUGGGCUCAACCCAUAGUCUGCAGGCGAAACUGUCGGGCUUGAGUAUUGGAGAGGUGAGUGGAAUUUCCGGUGUAGCGGUGAAAUGCGUAGAUAUCGGAAGGAACACCUGUGGCGAAAGCGGCUCACUGGACAAUAACUGACGCUGAUGCACGAAAGCUAGGGGAGCAAACAGG
This 404-nucleotide ribosomal RNA is filed under the name uncultured bacterium. RNAcentral's name for it is "bacterial SSU rRNA". It matches the Rfam family "Bacterial small subunit ribosomal RNA", at positions 355 to 776 of the family's 1533-position model. The record is from RNAcentral.